Molecule: long non-coding RNA, 1004 nt
Filed under: Elaeis guineensis (African oil palm)
Lineage: Eukaryota; Viridiplantae; Streptophyta; Magnoliopsida; Arecales; Arecaceae
Description: long non-coding RNA (EGUI_LNC081765)
Source: RNAcentral
CUCCCUUUUUCUUUUUCAUUUGAAAUUUUUCCCCCGCUCUUGGUGGGGCUACGGGAGUCCGACUCCCGUAAGCGAAGUCGGGGCGAAGUCCGGCUCCCGUGGGAGUCCGGACGGAGUUUACUUGCAAUUGAAGUCAGAGGCAAAAUCUGGCUCCCGGAUGGAACUUACCAGCGGUCGAAUUCGGGGAUGAAGCCCGACUCCCGUAGGAGUCCGGGCGGAGUCCACCUGCAGUUGGUGUCGGGGGCGAAGUCCGGCCUCUGUAAGAGUCUGGACUGUAGCUGGAGUUGGAGACGUGAUCUGGCUCUCGUAGGAGUCUGGAUGAAGCCCACCUGCAAUCAAGGUCAGGGAUGAAGUCCGGCUCCCGUAGGAGUCCGGACGAGGUUUACCUGCAACUGGAGUCGUGGGCGGAGUCCGGCUCCCGUAGGAGCCCGAGCGGAGUCUGCAGGUGGAGUCGCGGGCGAGGUCCAGUUCCCGUAGGAGCCCGGACGAAGUUUAUCUACAAUUAGAGUCAGGACGGAGUCCGUCUCCCAUAGGAGUCCGGACGAGGCCUACCUGCAGCUGGAGUCGUGGGCGGAGUCCGGCUCCCGUAGGAGUCCGGAUGAGGUCUGUCUGCAGCCGGAGUCAGGGACAAGGCCCGGCUCCCGUAGGGGUCCGGGCGGAGUCUUCCUGCAAUUAAAGUCAGAGGCGGAGUCCGGCUCCCAUAGGAGUCCGGGCGAAGCUUACCAGCGGUUGAAGUUGGUGACGGAGCCCGGCUCCCGUGGGAGUCCGGGCGGAGUCUUCCUUACGGUUGAAGUUGGUGACGGAGCCCGGCUCCCGUGGGAGUCCGGGCGGAGUCUUCUUCACGGUUGAAGUUGGAGACGGAGCCCGGCUCCCGUAGGAGUCCGGGCGGAGUCUUCCUCACGGUUGAAGUUGGAGACGGAGCCCGGCUCCCAUAGGAGUCCGGACGGCGCUUACCAGCAGUUGUAGUUGUGGACGAAGCCCGGCUCCCGUAGGAGUCCAGGCGG